Suncus etruscus (white-toothed pygmy shrew) is the source of this 378-nucleotide non-coding RNA. The record is from the annotation of a RefSeq genome assembly. Lineage: Eukaryota; Metazoa; Chordata; Mammalia; Eulipotyphla; Soricidae.
AUGAAGACAUCUAUUGGAGCUGGAUUCAUGUUCUUGUGGCUGCAGAUGGGCUGUGUCCGUGGAGGAGAGAAUAUGGAACAGAGUCCUUCUACCCUGAAAGUCCACCAGGGAACCAAGGCUGUUAUCAACUGUUCUUAUUCAAACAAUGCCUUGGACUACUUCCCUUGGUAUAAGCAAGAACCUGGGAAAAGCCUUCAGUUGAUCAUCUACAUUCGUUCAACUAAGCAACAAGAAAUAAAACAAAGACUCACAGUUUUACUGGAUAAAAAUGCUAAACAUCUUUCCCUGCACAUAGCAGACACCCAGCCUGGAGACUCAGCAGUCUACUACUGUGCAGCGAGUACACAGUGCUUUCCAGGCACCUGCAACCUGUGCUGA